Callithrix jacchus (white-tufted-ear marmoset) is the source of this 196-nucleotide small nucleolar RNA. Its record names the gene U3. It matches the Rfam family "Small nucleolar RNA U3". Rfam says of the family: Small nucleolar RNAs (snoRNAs) are involved in the processing and modification of rRNA in the nucleolus. There are two main classes of snoRNAs: the box C/D class, and the box H/ACA class. The record is from Ensembl. Lineage: Eukaryota; Metazoa; Chordata; Mammalia; Primates; Cebidae.
AAGCCUGUACUCUCAGGGAUCACUGCUGUAGUUACGAGAUAAGCGUCUCUGCACAUGCAGAGCACUCAUAACCAUAUUAAGAGUCUCCUGAGUGUGACUCUGGCUGUUGGUGUUGCUUUGCUGCAGCUGCCGUGUGCCAUUGGUGAUCCUGCUUCUCUUGCUUUGGGAAAGUAAGAGGGAGAGAACAGAGAGUGGG